This 301-nucleotide ribosomal RNA is filed under the name uncultured bacterium. Its description in RNAcentral is "partial 16S ribosomal RNA". It matches the Rfam family "Archaeal small subunit ribosomal RNA", at positions 459 to 760 of the family's 1478-position model. The record is from RNAcentral.
CAGCAGCCACGGGAAAACCAGCACCUCGAGUGGUCAGGAGGUUUAUUGGGCCUAAAGCAUCCGUAGCCGGUUGCAUAAGUUUUCGGUUAAAUCUAUGCGCUUAACGUAUAGGCCGCCGAAAAUACUGUGCAGCUAGGGAGUGGGAGAGGUACACGGUACUCGAUAGGAAGGGGUAAAAUCCUUUGAUCUAUUGAUGACCACCUGUGGCGAAGGCGGUGUACCAGAACACGUUCGACGGUAAGGGAUGAAAGCUGGGGGAGCAAACCGGAUUAGAUACCCGCGUAGUCCCUGUCUCUUAUAC